CCUACGGGUCGCAGCAGUGGGGAAUAUUGGACAAUGGGCGAAAGCCUGAUCCAGCCAUGCCGCGUGUGUGAAGAAGGCCUUCGGGUUGUAAAGCACUUUCAGUGGGGAAGAAAGCCUUGGGGCUAAUACCCUCGAGGAAGGACAUCACCCACAGAAGAAGCACCGGCUAACUCCGUGCCAGCAGCCGCGGUAAUACGGAGGGUGCGAGCGUUAAUCGGAAUUACUGGGCGUAAAGCGCGCGUAGGCGGUCUGAUAAGCCGGUUGUGAAAGCCCCGGGCUCAACCUGGGAACGGCAUCCGGAACUGUCAGGAUAGAGUGCAGGAGAGGAAGGUAGAAUUCCCGGUGUAGCGGUGAAAUGCGUAGAGAUCGGGAGGAAUACCAGUGGCGAAGGCGGCCUUCUGGACUGACACUGACGCUGAGGUGCGAAAGCGUGGGUAGCAAACAGGAUUAGAUACCCCUGUAGUC
Molecule: ribosomal RNA, 465 nt
Filed under: Vreelandella stevensii
Lineage: Bacteria; Pseudomonadati; Pseudomonadota; Gammaproteobacteria; Oceanospirillales; Halomonadaceae
Description: partial 16S ribosomal RNA
Rfam family: Bacterial small subunit ribosomal RNA
Source: RNAcentral